GGCCCCGCACAAGCGGUGGAGCAUGUGGUUUAAUUCGAUGCAACGCGAAGAACCUUACCAGGGCUUGACAUACUGUGAAUGAAUCAGAGAUGAAUCAGUGCCUUCGGGAACGCAGAUACAGGUGGUGCAUGGCUGUCGUCAGCUCGUGUCGUGAGAUGUUGGUUAAGUCCCGCAACGAGCGCAACCCUCGUCUUUAGUUACGUUGAAACUCUAGAGAGACUGCUGGUGAUAAACCGGAGGAAGGUGAGGAUGACGUCAAGUCAGCAUGCCCCUUACGCCCUGGGCGACACACGUGCUACAAUGGCCGGGACAAAGAGUCGCAAGUUUGCAAAGACAAGCU
RNAcentral lists this ribosomal RNA (340 nucleotides) under uncultured bacterium. Its description in RNAcentral is "bacterial SSU rRNA". It matches the Rfam family "Bacterial small subunit ribosomal RNA", at positions 917 to 1269 of the family's 1533-position model. The record is from RNAcentral.